This 414-nucleotide long non-coding RNA is filed under the name Glycine max (soybean). RNAcentral's name for it is "long non-coding RNA (GMAX_LNC004122)". The record is from RNAcentral. Lineage: Eukaryota; Viridiplantae; Streptophyta; Magnoliopsida; Fabales; Fabaceae.
CAGUCUUUCGCUUCUUUGAUUGCUUCAACAAAUUUUAUAUCAUCUUAUAAAAAACUUAUAGCAAAGCAUGCUUCUCUAUAUAUAGGAUAUUGAACAUUAGCAAUCUUUCUGAUAUCCUCAAAUGAGAUUGAUCAUUUGCAAACAGUUAGCAUCAUCCUUAAGUACAAUAAUUCUCCUGUAGUUGGUGGGACCCAUAAUGGCCUCUCAAUAGUGUAUCCUUUUUUUCUAAGUUGCCAAGAUCUUUCUUUUUAAUUAUAUACGAACUUAAACUAAUUUUGCAUAAGUAAGAGUUCUUCCUUUAGCAAAGUUUUUGUUGUUGUUCAUCCAAGAAAUAAACUUUGAAUCAAAGAUGCUUGGCUUAGACAAGACAUCGUUAAUAUCAUCAAGAUCUUGGUAAAAAAUACUAUGUUGUCC